RNAcentral lists this unclassified non-coding RNA (433 nucleotides) under soil metagenome. RNAcentral's name for it is "partial contains 5.8S ribosomal RNA, internal transcribed spacer 2, and large subunit ribosomal RNA". The stretch from base 1 to 120 matches the Rfam family "5.8S ribosomal RNA", at positions 35 to 154 of the family's 154-position model. The record is from RNAcentral.
GAUGAAGAACGUAGCGAAAUGCGAUACGUAAUGUGAAUUGCAGAAUUCAGUGAAUCAUCGAAUCUUUGAACGCAUAUUGCGCUCUCUGGUAUUCCGGAGAGCAUGCUUGUUUGAGUAUCAGUAAACACCUCAACUUCCAUAUCUUUUUUGAAAUGGGAGUUGGACUUGAGUGAUCCCAACGCUUUUCCUCACCGAUAAGUGGCGGGUUACUUGAAAUGCAGGUGCAGCUGGACUUUUCUCUGAGCUAUAAGCAUAUCUAUUUAGUCUGCCUAAAAAACAGAUUAUUACCUUUGCUGCAGCUAACAUAAAGGAGAUUAGUUCUUGUGCUGACUGAUGCAGGAUUCACAAAGACAGGCUUCGGCCGACUUUGUAAACUCGAUCUCAAAUCAAGUAAGACUACCCGCUGAACUUAAGCAUAUCAAUAAGCGGAGGA